CGCCACGCCCGCUCAAGAAACUACAAUGAAUUGACGGGGCCCGCACAAGCGGUGGAGUAUGUGGUUUAAUUCGAUGCAACGCGAAGAACCUUACCUGGUCUUGACAUCCCGGAGACCCUUAGGAAACUAGGGGGUGCUUCCAUCUGGAAGAAUCUGGAGACAGGUGCUGCAUGGCUGUCGUCAGCUCGUGUCGUGAGAUGUUGGGUUAAGUCCCGCAACGAGCGCAACCCUUGCCUUUAGUUGCCAGCAGUUCGGCUGGGCACUCUAAAGGGACUGCCGGUGUUAAACCGGAGGAAGGUGGGGAUGACGUCAAGUCCUCAUGGCCUUUAUGACCAGGGCUACACACGUACUACAAUGGCCGAUACAAAGGGCAGCGACACUGCGAGGUGAAGCCAAUCCCGUAAAAUCGGUCUCAGUCCGGAUUGGAGUCUGCAACUCGACUCCAUGAAGUUGGAAUCGCUAGUAAUCGUGGAUCAGCAUGCCACGGUGAAUACGUUCCCGGGCCUU
RNAcentral lists this ribosomal RNA (507 nucleotides) under uncultured Desulfobulbus sp. RNAcentral describes it as "bacterial SSU rRNA". It matches the Rfam family "Bacterial small subunit ribosomal RNA", at positions 904 to 1382 of the family's 1533-position model. Lineage: Bacteria; Pseudomonadati; Thermodesulfobacteriota; Desulfobulbia; Desulfobulbales; Desulfobulbaceae. The record is from RNAcentral.